UCUCUUACAGGCAAUGGUGAAAUUGAUCUCCCUGUGCAAAAGGGGAUAAACCAUAUAAGACGAGAAGACCCUGUGGAACUUUAAAAUCAGCAGCCACUUUACAUCACAUUCACACCACUGGGUUCACGCAUUUGUAAAAAACUGGCCUGCAAUUUUUCGGUUGGGGCGACCUUGGAGAAAACAGAUCCUCCAAAUAUUGGACCAUAACUCUAGACUGAGAGCAACCCCUCAAUGUGCUAUAGCAUCCAGACCCAAUAUAAUUGAUCAAUGGACCAAGCUACCCCAGGGAUAACAGCGCAAUCUCCUCCGAGAGUCCGUAUCGACGGGGAGGUUUACGACCUCGAUGUUGGAUCAGGACAUCCUAGUGGCUG
RNAcentral lists this ribosomal RNA (371 nucleotides) under Pyrrhocorax graculus. RNAcentral's name for it is "partial 16S ribosomal RNA". It matches the Rfam family "Bacterial large subunit ribosomal RNA", at positions 2019 to 2555 of the family's 2925-position model. Lineage: Eukaryota; Metazoa; Chordata; Aves; Passeriformes; Corvidae. The record is from RNAcentral.